GGCAACAAUGCGAUGGUAACCGCGAGCCUGAGCUAAACCAAGCGAUACAUGAAACCGUAGAUCAAAACACCCUAGAGACUAAUCAAGACGCUGUAUUCGAGAUCCCUACUACGAACAGAUUCACACCACUCCAAUCUGGACAAUCUAGCCCUACAUCAGCACAGCAUCCUUCAGAUAAUUCCACACGGGACCGCUCCCAAGACAGACCCCGUACAAGAUAUGAGAGAAACCAUGCUGGGAAGAGAAACCAUGUUGUUUUCUUGGCAGAUUCGAAUUCAAAAUACAUCGACAGACAGAAAAUGUGUAGAGAUAAAAAUGUCGAUUAUCUUUUCUGUCCCACUUUCGAAAGCGCUCAAGAAGUUCUAAUCUCAGCUGAUUUCGGUACCCCCUCACAUGUUCUCAUCCACACCGGUACUAAUGAUCUUGAGCACACAGCUAUCGACGACUGUGUAGAUGCCGCCAAAUUAUUAAUUGACACCUCAGCACAAAAGUACCCGCAAUCACGUAUCCUGAUAUCUACAUUGCUCGCACGAGCUGACCGCCUUGAUGAAAAACGCAAACUAUUUAACACUCAACUACGAGCUUUCCAUGUGCCACCUACUGUUUAUUUUAUCGACAACGAGAACAUAAGUGCUGAUAUGCUCUACGACAACAAGCAUAUUCUACGGCGUCGUGUUGGAGUUCUUGUCGCCAAUUUUAAAGAUGCAAUUUUUAAUCGUGCAGCUAGCCCUAAAUCCCCCAUUACGAAACAACACAAACCGAAAAUCAGAGAUGCCGCAGAAUCUUUGGCCGCGACUGCCCGAAGCCCCUCAACAUGAUGACAGACCACAACACAGGGCUCCACCUCGUAACUUCCCAAUCGAGAACGCUCCACCGAAACAGCCCUUCCCAGGUCCCAUGCCUACCAUGCACCCGCCUCAAUCACCGUCCUAUGCUGAUGUCGUAGACAGGAGGAAAAGUUUGAUGGAUGAUAAUACUAUCAUGAAGCUAUUCAAACUUUAUGAAAUGAUCCGUGAGUUGUAAUCAACUUAGUAAGAGAAUGCAGUUGGUCUUGACCCCGUUCUUUUGCCCAAUGGAUGAUCUGGUUCUUAUCUCAACCAGUGCUUCGGGACUACAAAAAUCGAUUAGUCUGAUCGAUCAUUUCUGUAAAGAUUGGUUAAUGUCUGUAAAUCAAAAGAAAACAAAAGUAGUUAUUUUUCAAAAAUAAUGCCGGAAACUGACUCUUCAAAAAUUUCGCUUUUUCUUAAACGGCUCACAACUAGAUUGGUAACGUAACAGAAUAUAAAUACUUAGGAUGUACUUUUACUACAAACGGUAAUUUCACAACUUCGAAACUGCGGUUAGUUGAAAAAACAAGACGCUCUAUCUUUGCAGUCAAGCGCUAUCUCAAUUUUAAUAGAUUCCCUAUCAAGUUAAAUAACAAGUUAUUUAACGCACUCUUCUCGCCGAUCCUAUUGUACAACUCGGACAUAUGGGGAGCUUACGAUGCGAUAAAUGUUCAAAAAUGGGAAACAGACCCCGUAGAACGCUGGCAUUGCCAAUUUUUCAAAUACUACUUUGGCUUGAACAAACGCGCCCCGAAUGUCUCUGCCGAAAUGAGGCAGGCAGAUUAUCGCUAAAAUCAACAAUAUUACGUAACACCCUACUGUUUUGGCUCCAUAUUCAAGCAUUACCAGAAAAACAAACAAUGCCUAAACAAUGCCUAAAAAUUUCUGGCGAAUUGACAUGUUCGGGUAAAUCGAGCUUCAUGUCCUCAAUAUGUAAGAUACUGAAACAUUUGAUGCCCCAUAUAAUAAGGAGACGAUUUAUAACAAAUUUAAACUAGAAAAAUUAAUCACAAAUAUUACAAACGAAUCUAAACGUCAUCAAAUGGGUCUUAUAAAUCUGAACAAAAAGCUAAUUUUUUACUACUCUUUCAAAAAAGACACAAAAUCUAGUGAAUGCUAUGAUAAAAUACUUAAGAUGGAACACAGAAAAGCUUUAGCCAAACUCAGACUAGGGAAUCUUAAUCUAAACAUAGAAACAGAAAGACACACAAAACCUCCGAUUCCAAGAGAGAAGCGUAUCUGCCAGAUUUGUAACACUUUAGAGGAUGAAAAACAUUUCAUGCAUUUCUGCGUCUCAUCCCACUCUGAACGAAAGCAAUUAUUUUCUGAUAUCCAAUCCCACUACAUUUUCUUUGACAAUCUAAGUAAUGAUGAUAAAAUUCUGUUCCUUUUUAAUAAUGUUGACCCUUUUGUGAAUAAGAAAGUAGCCCACUUUAUAUGCAAAACAUUUAAAUAAAGACCGAAUACUCUCAUUUAAGCCAUAUUAUGUUAUGCAAUACCAUCAAUGUAAAUGGAAUGCAAAUAAAUAAAUGUAAAAUGUAACUUCA
Molecule: long non-coding RNA, 2374 nt
Organism: Nematostella vectensis (starlet sea anemone)
Lineage: Eukaryota; Metazoa; Cnidaria; Anthozoa; Actiniaria; Edwardsiidae
Exons: 2
Source: RefSeq, a predicted model, not a curated record